GGAUAUAUUAAAAACUACAGCAUAUCCAUCAGAAAGAAACUAAGAAACUAGUGGGAAAAUGAAUACAAGAUAAUAUCAUUGAACCCUCUGUGUCUGAAUGUAAUAGCUCGCUUUUGUUAGUACCAAAAAAAUCACUCCCUGAUUCCGAAGAGAAACAAUGCAGAUUAGUUAUAGACAAAAAUAAAUAAAAAACUGUUAUCCGAAAAAUUUCAACUUCCUAGAAUUGAUGACUUUUUGGAUCAACGACGAAGCAUUUUUCAUGCCUUGACUUAAUGUCAGGUUUUCACCAAAUUUAACUUGAAGAGAGUUCAUGAGAUACAAUGUCAUUUCCAACGAGCAAUGGCUCAUAUUGCUUUACGCGACUAUCUUUUGGGUUAAAUAGCUGGGUUUAAUAGCCUAAUUCAUCGCAGAGAAUGAUGACAAUAGCAUUCUCAGGUUUAGAACCUUCCAAGGAUUCCUUUAUAUGGACAACUUUAUUGUCAUUGGAUGUUCAGAGCAACACAUGACCAAAAACUUAAACAACGUCUUCGAACUGUGUAGGAAAAAUAAUCUGAAGCUACCCUUUUAUUCCAGUAACGUUUUCAAAAAAUAAUAUUAUUUUCCCGAUGUUCUUAUACUAAAGUUUGUUGUACAGAAUAUCGCCUUUCUCAACCAAUUUUAUAAGAAGUCUCUUUCUCAGGUUCCAAUGCGGAUGUAUUUUCGCUUUACCAAAACUUUCAUAGCCAUAAUUUCCUAUUGAUAGUCUUUCCAGUCUAUAUUCGGCUAGUAUUAAAUUAAAUAGGAGUAGGUUAUAUAGGUUAUAUAGGUUACUUAUAUGGUCUUGCCAAAUAAAGCUGGAAAACCAUCGAUGGCACUAUCGAUACUAUCGAUGGUUUUAAGUUUUUUCAAACCAUCGAUGCUUUUCGAAAACAAUCGAACAAUCCGCACUGGCGUCACUAACACUUUGAUACAGCGAAAGAGAUAUAUUAUAGAAAAGAAAUAACUAUUUGAGAAGAUUGGUGGUGUUGGAAGAGGUUGGAGAUGGAUAAAUACUUGAAAAACCCUUUAACAACUGUGGAUAACACGACUCCAAAAUUGGAUCCCUUAAAACGUGGAGGCCCCGAAUAUCUGGAGGCUGAAAAGUCCCUUCCACUAGUUUUGAAGUGUUUUGGAAUUGAAGUUGCAGGAGGAUUUCAGUUACGUUGACAAUGUAUCCAUUUCUACUGAUUGUUGGACCUCGCGUGCUAAUGAGGCGUAUCUCACUAUAACGUAACACUUCAUUAACGAAUGCUAUGAACUUAAAUCAGCAGUUUUGUCGACGCAAAAACUUGUAGAUGCAACUAACCACUGCGCUAGUAAUAUUGCGAACUCACUCAGCGCCGUUUUGAUUGAGUGGAACCUUUUAAAUAAGGUAGUAUCGAUUGUAACAGACAACGACGCGUCUAUGAAAGAAGCGUGCGAAUUAAUGAUGAUAAUAAAUGAAACAUUUACCUUGUGUCUCGCAUACUAUUAAUGUGUUAGUGCAAGAUCUCCUGAAAAUAGAUUCUAUAGUGCCCUUACUAGCAAGGUGUAAGAGAAUCGUAUCGUUUUUCAAAUCGAGUUCAAUCGCAACAAAGAAACUUAAAAAUGCAAAAACUUCUGAUUCACGCUAUGGACUUGUACAAGAAGUUCCAACGCGUUGGAAUAGCGCCUACUAUAUGAUUCAACGGAUUAUUUUAGUAAAUUACUCGCUUUCUGCAGUGCUUCUAAACUCAACCAAAGCUCCAAGUCCAAUAUCAGCGGACGAAAUGAUCGUUCUGGAUGAGAUAUGUCAAGUUCUAGCUCCGUUUCACAGACUGCGCUUGAACGAUUGCCAGAGCGUUUUUCGCAUUACGAAACUCGGACUGUUACUAGAAUUGCUACAUUACUGGAUCCCAGAUUUAAAAAGGACUGUUUUUUGUUUUCAUCGAACUCAGAGCAAGCCGCGAAAGAUUUGCAGUUAGAGUUAUUUUCAAGUUUGUCCCGAGUUCCUUUCACACGUGAUAUUUCAACACCACCAGACACUCCACAAGAAAAAAAAAACAGUUUCUUUACUUAAUUAGGAACGAAACUUUCAAAUAAAUUUCAUUCGGAACUCAAUAAUGCUAUUGAGGACGUAUUUUGCGAGACCUAAUGAGCCGGAGGAUAAGGAUCCCCUUGCUUAUUGGAUGGAAAACAGUGACAGUCUGAAGCCAAUAACUAAACUUUGUAGAAAUUACCUGUGCAUUCCGGCCAGUUCAACAGAAUCUGAUAGAACCUUCAGUAAAGCUGGUCAGAUUGUAUCUGACCGCAGAGCAUCGCUUAAACAAAAGUAGUUUGCUACUUUUUGUGAACAAAAACCAGAAACAAUGAUCUCUUGUUGUCUUAUUAUGAAUAUAAAAAAACAUUAUUUUG
Molecule: long non-coding RNA, 2391 nt
Organism: Drosophila mauritiana
Lineage: Eukaryota; Metazoa; Arthropoda; Insecta; Diptera; Drosophilidae
Exons: 4
Source: RefSeq, a predicted model, not a curated record